UUUGAUUAUGGCUCAAGACGAACGCCUGGCGGCGUGCUUAACACAUGCAAGUCGAACGAUGAAGCGGUGCUUGCACCGUGGAUUAGUGGCGAACGGGUGAGUAAUACGUGAGUGACCUACCUUUGACUCUGGGAUAAGCCUGGGAAACUGGGUCUAAUACCGGAUACGACCAAUCUCUGCAUGGGGUGUUGGUGGAAAGCGUUAUGGAGUGGUUUUAGAUGGGCUCACGGCCUAUCAGCUUGUUGGUGAGGUAAUGGCUUACCAAGGCGACGACGGGUAGCCGGCCUGAGAGGGUGACCGGCCACACUGGGACUGAGACACGGCCCAGACUCCUACGGGAGGGCAGCAGUGGGGAAUAUUGCACAAUGGGCGCAAGCCUGAUGCAGCGACGCCGCGUGAGGGAUGACGGCCUUCGGGUUGUNAACCUCUGUUAGCAUCGAAGAAGCGAAAGUGACGGUAGGUGCAGAGAAAGCGCCGGCUAACUACGUGCCAGCAGCCGCGGUAAUACGUAGGGCGCGAGCGUUGUCCGGAAUUAUUGGGCGUAAAGAGCUUGUAGGCGGUUGGUCGCGUCUGCUGUGAAAGGCCGGGGCUUAACUCCGGUUUUGCAGUGGGUACGGGCUAACUAGAGUGCAGUAGGGGAGACUGGAAUUCCUGGUGUAGCGGUGGAAUGCACAGAUAUCAGGAGGAACACCGAUGGCGAAGGCAGGUCUCUGGGCUGUAACUGACGCUGAGAAGCGAAAGCAUGGGGAGCGAACAGGAUUAGAUACCCUGGUAGUCCAUGCCGUAAACGUUGGGCACUAGGUGUGGGGGACAUUCCACGUUUUCCGCGCCGUAGCUGACGCAUUAAGUGCCCCGCCUGGGGAGUACGGCCGCAAGGCUAAAACUCAAAGGAAUUGACGGGGGCCCGCACAAGCGGCGGAGCAUGCGGAUUAAUUCGAUGCAACGCGAAGAACCUUACCAAGGCUUGACAUGCAUUAGAUCGCGUCAGAGAUGGCGUUUCCCUUCGGGGCUGGUGUACAGGUGGUGCAUGGUUGUCGUCAGCUCGUGUCGUGAGAUGUUGGGUUAAGUCCCGCAACGAGCGCAACCCUCGUUCUAUGUUGCCAGCGGUUCGGCCGGGGACUCAUAGGAGACUGCCGGGGUCAACUCGGAGGAAGGUGGGGAUGACGUCAAAUCAUCAUGCCCCUUAUGUCUUGGGCUUCACGCAUGCUACAAUGGCCGGUACAGAGGGUUGCGAUACUGUGAGGUGGAGCUAAUCCCUUAAAGCCGGUCUCAGUUCGGAUUGGGGUCUGCAACUCGACCCCAUGAAGUCGGAGUCGCUAGUAAUCGCAGAUCAGCAACGCUGCGGUGAAUACGUUCCCGGGCCUUGCACACACCGCCCGUC
RNAcentral lists this ribosomal RNA (1381 nucleotides) under uncultured bacterium. RNAcentral describes it as "bacterial SSU rRNA". It matches the Rfam family "Bacterial small subunit ribosomal RNA". The record is from RNAcentral.